ACGGGUGAGUAAUGUGUGGGUAAUCUGCCUUCGAGAGGGGGAUAACCUGGCGAAAGCCGGGCUAAUACCCCAUGACAUUGCUUGGUCUUCGGAUCGAGUAAUCAAAUGAUGGCCUCUAUUUAUAAGCUAUCGCUCAAAGAUGAGCUCACAUCCUAUCACGCUUGUUGGUGAGGUAAAGGCUCACCAAGGCGACGACGGGUAGCCGGCCUGAGAGGGUGUCCGGCCACACUGGAACUGAGACACGGUCCAGACUCCUACGGGAGGCAGCAGUGGGGAAUUUUUCGCAAUGGGCGCAAGCCUGACGAAGCAACGCCGCGUGGAGGAUGAAGGCCCUAGUGGUCGUAAACUCCUGUCUAGUGGGACGAAAUUCAGCCGGGUGAACAAUCCGGCAGAUUGACUGUACUACUGGAGGAAGCUCCGGCCAACUCCGUGCCAGCAGCCGCGGUAAUACGGAGGGAGCAAGCGUUACUCGGAAUUAUUGGGCGUAAAGGGCGCGUAGGCGAUUUAACAAGUCUUGUGUGAAAGCCCCGAGCUUAACUCGGGAAGUGCACAAGAAACUGUUGAAUUUGAGUUCCGGAGAGGAAGGC
This 587-nucleotide ribosomal RNA is filed under the name uncultured bacterium. Its description in RNAcentral is "bacterial SSU rRNA". It matches the Rfam family "Bacterial small subunit ribosomal RNA", at positions 102 to 662 of the family's 1533-position model. The record is from RNAcentral.